Long non-coding RNA from Marmota monax (woodchuck), 675 nucleotides. RefSeq lists it as uncharacterized. The transcript is spliced from 3 exons. The record is from RefSeq and is a predicted model, not a curated record. NCBI's taxonomy places the organism in Eukaryota, Metazoa, Chordata, Mammalia, Rodentia, Sciuridae.
CACAGCAGCCGCCGCCAUCGCGCCGCCGCCUGCCGCCGCGCGCGCCGGGGCUUCCGGGGUGCAGCGCGCCACUUCCGGCCAAUGCCGGAAGAGGUCAUAGAGAGCCCGUCCGAUGGCUAGAGAGCGGCGGUGCGUGCCACAGAGACAGGGGCCCAACGUGCGCGGCUAGCGCGGCGCGCGGGGGCCUGUAGGGCGUGAGGGGGCCUCCGCGGCGCAGAGAUAGCCCGCAGGCGGACGCCAGUCACCGCCAGCUACACCCCGACUCUAGAAUACCGGCUGGAUGCAGUGUCUGGAUCAUUCCUAGUGAUUGGAGCGAUAGACUUGGCUCCUGAGCUGCCUGACUUGGUCCCUGCGAGGCCUUUUCCUGUGGCAUAGACACACACGACACGGGACUACAUUAGGAUGGUGACUCAUGCCCAUGGUGGCAGUGUGAAUGGCGGGAGGAACCCACCCUGAGCAGCUGGGCCUGAGAGGCCUGGGACCAUGUCUCCCAGCCUGGAGGUGUCAGCACAGUGGACAGAGGUGGAGUUAUGGUGUCUCCUGAAGACAAGAGAGCUGCCAUGUCCUGGGUUGCCUUCCUCCACCACAGGAUGGCUGCUUGCCUCAGGCCCAGAGCAGUGGAGUCGGCCAUCUCUGGACUGAGACCUCAAACUGUGAGCCCCAAAUAAACUUUUC